UUUUGACAAUAUUUGCCACUCUUCGGAUUUCAUGAUUUCCAAUUCGACAACCACAUCCUUCAUCUCGGGCCUCUUUCUAGGGUCUGUGUCCCAACAUCGUUGUAUUAAUCGAGCCAACGAUGUUCGACAAUUUACGGGAAAUGUAAAUUCGUGAGUACAAAUGUACAAGUAAUCAUACCUCAGGAGCCAUAUAACCUCGAGUCCCCAUCUCACCACUGGUGAAGAACAACUCUAAUGGCUCAAAAAUCGAUUCUCCAAAAUCAGCGAGUUUUAUCCUUUUUUGAUUGUCGAGAAGUAUGUUUUCUGGCUUCACAUCGCGGUGAAUUAUUUUCUUAGAAUGAAGAUUAAGAAUUAAGGUGAUGAUCACAUACCCUCUAGCAAUCUCAAGGGCAAAUUGAAAGACAAUUUUCAUGGGCAACUUCUUGUCACGGUUCUUCAACAGGUAAGAUCGUAGAGAUCCUCCUUUAACAUAUUCAGCGACGAUACAAAAGUUAUUCUGAGUUUUCGAUUUCUUGUUCUUUUUGCCCGCAUUUUUCUUCAUGGACAUGGUUGCUCCAAUCAUCUACAAUUUACACAAUGAUACAUGCAUGCUCGUGUGUUUGUGUAUAUAUAUAUAUGUAUGUAUCUUAUUAUAUGUUCUGGUAUACUCUAUGCAUUCUGUCAAUCUGAGGCGUUUCUGAAAAUUCACGUACUCUGUUCGAGCUCGAAAA
Molecule: long non-coding RNA, 710 nt
Filed under: Helianthus annuus (common sunflower)
Lineage: Eukaryota; Viridiplantae; Streptophyta; Magnoliopsida; Asterales; Asteraceae
Source: RNAcentral